CAACAAUGGUGGCACGAGAAGCAAAUACACAGAGAAAGCAAAGCAAACACUCAAUUUAAUCAAAGCAAAGCAAACAGAGACGCAAAAUCAAUAUAUAAAGUCGAAGGUAGCAGCGGUACCUGGAAUGCAGCGGUGGAGAGUUGNAGUGGCGGCGUGAAUUGCAGUGGCGNCGUUCGGAAUGCAGCGGUGGAGAGUUGCAGUGCUAGCGUAAUGACGGAAGAAAGGUCCGAACAAAUCGCGGCGGAGACAGAGACGAACGUUUUCAGGUCCCAACAAAUCGCGGCGGAUGGAGACGAAAGGCUUGCAGCGUAGCAAUGGCAGGGGUGCAGCGAAGGAGAAGAAUGCGAAAUCGUAUUCAGAAGCGUGAAGAAGAUGAAACUGUUCAAUAUUUUUUUAACUAUCAGAAAGAGAAUCUGCCGCGGUUCUACACUUAACCGCGGCAUAAAGGGGGAAUAGGCCGCGGUUCUCUGGCCAACCGCGGCCUAUUCAUUUUAAAAAAAUAAUAUGAAAUGACAUUUUUGAAAUUUUUUGUAGCUUAUAUGCCGCGGUUCAGCGCCCAACCGCGGCAUAUACCCUGUAAAUCUUAAAAUUUACUGAGACAAGGGUAUAGGCCGCGGUUCUCUGGCCAACCGCGGCCUAUUACCCAACGUUCAGAAUUCUCCAACUGCCUCCAACUGCCUUAUGGGGAAUGUCAGUAGGGGGAAUAGGCUGCGGUUCUCUGACCAACCGCGGCCUAU
Molecule: long non-coding RNA, 737 nt
Filed under: Vigna radiata
Lineage: Eukaryota; Viridiplantae; Streptophyta; Magnoliopsida; Fabales; Fabaceae
Description: long non-coding RNA (VRAD_LNC007640)
Source: RNAcentral